GACGAACGCUGGCGGCGUGCUUAACACAUGCAAGUCGAACGGAAAGGCCCCAGCUUGCUGGGGUACUCGAGUGGCGAACGGGUGAGUAACACGUGGGUGAUCUGCCCUGCACUCUGGGAUAAGCCUGGGAAACUGGGUCUAAUACCGGAUAGGACCGUGCUUUAGUGUGUGCGGUGGAAAGUUUUUCGGUGCAGGAUGAGCCCGCGGCCUAUCAGCUUGUUGGUGGGGUAAUGGCCUACCAAGGCGGCGACGGGUAGCCGGCCUGAGAGGGUGUACGGCCACAUUGGGACUGAGACACGGCCCAGACUCCUACGGGAGGCAGCAGUGGGGAAUAUUGCACAAUGGGCGCAAGCCUGAUGCAGCGACGCCGCGUGGGGGAUGACGGCCUUCGCGUUGUAAACCCCUUUCGGCAGGGACGAAGCUUUUGUGACGGUACCUGCAUAAGAAGCACCGGCUAACUACGUG
This 465-nucleotide ribosomal RNA is filed under the name uncultured bacterium. Its description in RNAcentral is "partial 16S ribosomal RNA". It matches the Rfam family "Bacterial small subunit ribosomal RNA", at positions 28 to 507 of the family's 1533-position model. The record is from RNAcentral.